Molecule: ribosomal RNA, 497 nt
Filed under: uncultured bacterium
Lineage: Bacteria
Description: partial 16S ribosomal RNA
Rfam family: Bacterial small subunit ribosomal RNA
Source: RNAcentral
GAUGAACGCUGGCGGCGUGCCUAAUACAUGCAAGUCGAGCGAACGGACGAGAAGCUUGCGUCUCUGAUGUUAGCGGCAGACGGGUGAGUAACACGUGUAUAACCUACCUAUAAUACGGGUAUAACCUCGGGAAACCGGAACUAAUCGCGGAUAAUAUUUUGAACCGCAGGGUUCGAAAGUGAAAUACGGUGUUGCGGGCACUUCUAGAUGGAUCCGCGCUGCAUUAGCUAGUUGGUAAGGUAACGGCUUACGAAGGCAAGGAUGCAUAGCCGAGCUCAGGGGGUGAUAGGCCACACUGGAGCUUAGACAGGGUCCUGGCGCCUGCGAGACGCCGCAGAAGCGUAUCUUACGCAACGGGCGAAAGCAUGACGGAACAACGCGGAGUGAGAUAUGACGGUCUUCGGUUCGGAAAACUCUGUUAUUAGUGAAGAACAUAUUUGUCAGUAAAUGUGGCGAGCUUGACGGUAACUAAUCAGAAAGCAACGGCUAACUACGUG